RNAcentral lists this ribosomal RNA (538 nucleotides) under Darevskia parvula. RNAcentral's name for it is "partial 16S ribosomal RNA". It matches the Rfam family "Bacterial large subunit ribosomal RNA", at positions 1807 to 2598 of the family's 2925-position model. The record is from RNAcentral. Lineage: Eukaryota; Metazoa; Chordata; Lepidosauria; Squamata; Lacertidae.
UCAAAAACAUAGCCUUUAGCCCCACAAGUAUUAAAGGUCCCGCCUGCCCAGUGACUCUUUAAACGGCCGCGGUAUCCUAACCGUGCAAAGGUAGCAUAAUCACUUGUCCCUUAAAUAGGGACUGGAAUGAACGGCUAAAUGAGGAUUAAACUGUCUCUUGCGAGCCGGUCAAUGAAUUUGAUUUUCCAGUUCAAAAGCUGGAAUAAACACAUAAGACGAGAAGACCCUGUGGAGCUUCAAAACCUAGUUCACCAAAUAAUGCUUCCUUCGGUUUUUAGUUGGGGCGACUUCGGAGCACAAAAAAACCUCCAAAACAUGUAAACCCAUUAUAUUAAGAUCAACAAACCACAAAACCACAAGAUCCAGCAACAGCCCUAAAUGUUGUCUGACCAAUGAACCAAGUUACCCCAGGGAUAACAGCGCCAUCCCCUUCUAGAGUCCCUAUCGACAAGGGGGUUUACGACCUCGAUGUUGGAUCAGGACACCCCAAUGGUGCAGCCGCCACUAAAGGUUCGUUUGUUCAACGAUUAAAGUCCUA